UGUGGAGCCGUCCUUGAAAUACCACCCUUGUAGUGUUGAUGUUCUAACGUCGACCCCUUAUCGGGGUUGCGGACAGUGCCUGGUGGGUAGUUUGACUGGGGCGGUCUCCUCCCAAAGAGUAACGGAGGAGCACGAAGGUGGGCUAAUCACGGUUGGACAUCGUGAGGUUAGUGCAAUGGCAUAAGCCCGCUUGACUGCGAGAAUGACAAUUCGAGCAGGUGCGAAAGCAGGUCAUAGUGAUCCGGUGGUUCUGAAUGGAAGGGCCAUCGCUCAACGGAUAAAAGGUACUCCGGGGAUAACAGGCUGAUACCGCCCAAGAGUUCAUAUCGACGGCGGUGUUUGGCACCUCGAUGUCGGCUCAUCACAUCCUGGGGCUGAAGUCGGUCCCAAGGGUAUGGCUGUUCGCCAUUUAAAGUGGUACGCGAGCUGGGUUUAGAACGUCGUGAGACAGUUCGGUCCCUAUCUGCCGUGGGCGUUGGAAGAUUGAAGGGGGCUGCUCCUAGUACGAGAGGACCGGAGUGGACGAACCUCUGGUGUUCGGGUUGUGUCGCCAGACGCAUUGCCCGGUAGCUAAGUUCGGAAUCGAUAACCGCUGAAAGCAUCUAAGCGGGAAGCGAGCCCUGAGAUGAGUCUUCCCUGAUACUUUAAGUAUCCUAAAGGGUUGUCGGAGACUACGACGUUGAUAGGUCAGGUGUGUAAGUGCUGUGAGGCAUUGAGCUAACUGAUACUAAUUGCCCGUGAGGCUUAACCAUACAACACCCAAGGGGUUU
This 770-nucleotide ribosomal RNA is filed under the name Vibrio parahaemolyticus. RNAcentral's name for it is "bacterial LSU rRNA". It matches the Rfam family "Bacterial large subunit ribosomal RNA", at positions 2179 to 2925 of the family's 2925-position model. The record is from RNAcentral. Lineage: Bacteria; Pseudomonadati; Pseudomonadota; Gammaproteobacteria; Vibrionales; Vibrionaceae.